Molecule: ribosomal RNA, 255 nt
Filed under: uncultured bacterium
Lineage: Bacteria
Description: partial 16S ribosomal RNA
Rfam family: Bacterial small subunit ribosomal RNA
Source: RNAcentral
UACGUAGGUGGCAAGCGAUACUCGGAAUCACUAGGCGUAAAGCGCAGGUAGGCGGUUCGGUAAGUCUCUUGUGAAAGCUCCCGGCUCAACUGGGAGAGGUCAAGGGAAACUACCGGGCUAGAAAGUGGCAGAGGAAACUGGAAUUCCCGGUGUAGCGGUGAAAUGCGUAGAUAUAGGGAAGAACACCAAUAAGGCGAAGGCAGUUAACUAUUCUAUUCCUGACAUUGAGGCAUGAAAGCGUGGGGAGCAAAACGG